RNAcentral lists this long non-coding RNA (4289 nucleotides) under Sus scrofa (pig). RNAcentral describes it as "lncRNA (ENSSSCG00050036001.1)". The record is from RNAcentral. Lineage: Eukaryota; Metazoa; Chordata; Mammalia; Artiodactyla; Suidae.
ACCUGCGACCGCGCGUGUACAGAGGUUCCGGCGGGUGGCUCCUCUCCGGCUUGAAACCUUAGAGCGGCUUCUUCUUGUCUGCGGCUUCUGACCUGCGAGCAAAGGAAAAAGCAACGAGAUGACAGACCGCUACACCAUCCACAGCCAGUUAGAGCAUCUGCAGUCCAAAUACAUCGGCACCGGCCACGCCGACACCACCAAAUGGGAGUGGCUGGUGAACCAGCACCGCGACUCCUAUUGCUCCUACAUGGGCCACUUCGACCUUCUCAACUACUUUGCCAUUGCCGAGAAUGAGAGCAAAGCGCGAGUCCGCUUCAACUUGAUGGAGAAGAUGCUGCAGCCUUGCGGCCCGCCCGCCGACAAACCGGAGGAGAACUGAGACCUCACCGUCUCACCGCUAGGUCCUUACCCGGGGCGUUCCGUCCGACCUGCCUUCCUGUGGAACAAAGAGUUGGGAGACCCGUCAUAACCCCUGAGAAACUGAACAGUGGAGAGAUCCUAAAGUCUGCAGACGUUAGAGGAGAUAUGGCUGGAGUGAGAUGGGAUUAAGAGGCUCGUUUUUGGCUAGUUGACUGUCUUCGUUGCUUUUUCUAUAAAGUUUAGAAAUGUUUCGGUCUCUUGGUGUGGACUACUUGUGUUCUGGUGGAGGGGCCAAGGAGGGCUCUGGGACUGUGGUUUGCCGGGUGGCGGGGGGUAUAAAGAAGGGGAGGGUUGGGGAGGGGUUCAGCAGUAGCACAGGGCCAAAGUUCGUUGCCAGACACUUAAAUACGCUCUUUAUAAUAUUCUCCAACCCUGACUUCUCCCAGGAACUUUUCUCAGGCCCUUAACACAUUCACUAUUGAGGUUUGUGAUCACUGUGUCCUUUUUCUUUCAUACAAAAAAAAAAAUCUUGACUCGCUUUGCCUUCUCUCUGUAGAUUACACCUCUUUCUUUUGGAAAUACGUGGACAUAUCUUGAGUAUUGACAAACUGUCAAAUUAGUUCUUAAAUUCAUUCAGCAAAUACGUGUUGAAUUUUAUGUGGCAGGCUUUAAGGACCUAUAUUACACUGGUUGGGGGAGCAGAAGACUACAAAAUUUGCAGACAUAAGCAAGCACAUGUUGGAGGGUGCUGUGGAGAAUGAGAGUAGCAGUAGGGUUGCAGUUUUAAGUAGAAUGCUCAGGAUUUCCCAUCCUGGCUCAGCGGAAACAAUCUGACUAGGAUCCAUGAGGAUGCAGGUUUGGUCCCUGACCUCACUGAGUGGGUUAAGGAUCCGGCUUUGCUGUGAGCUGCAAUGUAGCUGGCAGAUACGGCAGGGAUCCUGUGUUGCUGUGGCAUAGGCCAACGGCUACAGCUCUGAUACAGUCCCUAGCCUGAGAACCUCCACAUGCCACUGGUGUGGCCCUAAAAAAAAAAAUCCGUAAGUAAGAUGUUCAUGUUAAACUAUUGAGAAGGUAACAUUUAAGCAGAGACUUUAAGGAAAUGAGGGAAAUACCAUGCGGAAAACUGGGGAAAUCGUUUCCCAGGUAGAGGGAACUGCCAGUGCAAUGUUCCUACUACAGGAAUUGUGGCAGGCUUACUGGAAAAACAGCAAACAAACAAGUAUGAUUGAAGGGAGUGAGUGAGGGAAAGAGUAGAGGGAUAGAUUAUGAAGGGAAACAGAUAAAAGUAGAGCCUGAUUGGCCAGUGUAAGGACUUGUGGCUUUUACCCUAAAGAGGUGGGGAGCCAUUGGAAGAUUAUUAAGUGAUACAGUCUGACAUAUUUUAGAUCAGUGGGUCUCAAAUGUUUUGGCCUUUGGACAUAAUUACGUUCUUAGAAAUUCUUCAAGACCCCCACAGAGCUUUUGUUUUUGAGAGUAAUAGCUGUUGAUAGUCACCAAGCUAGAAAUUAAAACAGAAAAUUUAAAAUACCUAGUAAUUCAUUUUAAAAUAGCAAUAGUAUAACUAUUACGUGUUAACAACAUUUUUGUGAAAAAUAACUACUUUCCAAAACAAUUUAGUGAGAAGAAUGGUGCCUUAAAAAAACAAAACAAAACAGGCGUUCCCAGUGCUGGCCUUGGUAACGAACCUGACUAGUAUCCAUGAGGACUCUGGUUCAAUCCCUGGCCUCUCUCAGUGGAUUAGAGUUCUGGCAUUGCUGUGAGCUGUGGUGUAAGUUGCAGCCAUGAUUGGAGUCUGCGUUGCUGCGACUGGCAUAGGCCAGCAGUUGCAACUUGGACUUGACCCCUACCUGGGGAACUUCCGUAUGCUAUAUGUGCAGACCUGGAAAAAAAAAAAAAAAAAAAGCAGUUUUGCAGAUGUCUUCAAUGUCUGGCUUAAUAUAAGACAGCUGAAUUCUUUUUUUUUUUUUUUUUUUUUUUUUUUUUGUCUUUUUAGGGCUGAAACUGACAUAUGUGUAUGAAAGCUCCCAGGCUAGGGUUCAAAUGGGAGCUGCAGCUGCUGGCCACAGCCACAGCCACAGCAACGCCAGAUCCAAGCUGCAUCUUCAACCUACACCACAGCUCACCGCAACACCUGAUUCUUAACCCACUGAGCAAGGCCAAGGAUCAGAACCCGCCUUUUCAUGGGUACUAGUAGGUUUAUUGCCACUGAGCCACAAAGGAACUCCAAGACAGCUGGAUUCUUGUAUCUUCUACAUUCAAACUAUUGGGAUAUGAUUUUGGUUGAAGUAUGAAAAAUCCAUGUCACAUAAAUAUAUAGUAAAGGAGAAAUAUUUUAAUAGCCUUUCCAAGUAGUUAUGGAUAUUCUUUUUUUUUUUUUUUUGCAACACCCACAGCAUGUGGAAGUUCCCAGGCCAGGGAUUGAACCUGCACUACAGCAGUGACCAGAGCCACUGCAGUGAAAAGGGAACUCCCAAUUAUGGAUACUCUUUGAUACAUUAGCAAAGCCCAACAAGUGGUAAUUUCUUAGAAGUUAGUUACAACAUGGAAUCUGAUCAAUGAACUUUUCAUUGUCUAGUACAUUAAAAUUCAUUAAUCUGGAGUUCCUGCUGUGGUGCAGUGGGUUAAUGAUCUGGCUUUUCUCUGUGGAGGUGCUGGUUCAAUCCCUGACCUGGUGCAGUGGGUUUAGGAUCCAGUGUUGCUGUGAGUUGCAGCUCUGGCUUGGAUUCCAUCCCCGGCCCAGGAACUUCCAUAUGCUGUGGGUUUGGCCAUUUAAAAAAAACAAAAUUUUUUUCUCUAAUCUGUCUUUUGCUCAUACAUGAUUUUGUAACAUCUUACAUUGGUCAGUUGGAAAGUUUUGGCUGAGUUAUACGUGCUGCAUAAAUGUUGACACAUUUCAUUGUAUAUAUCAAAAUAUGUACUUUGUGCAUAUUAUUAGUACUUUGUGCAUAUUAUUAGUAUACCACUGAUCUCAUCAGGGAAGUCAUACAGUAUUAGAAAGCUGAAAAACUAACAGUGAUGCUAUAAGUUUUCCACAAAUUUCAGUUUUUGCUUGAUAGCUUAAAUUUGGCCACUGGUAGCAAAUACUGUCUGUUGCUUUCCUUGAAGUGACAGGCUAACUUAGUUCAUUUUCAAGAAAAUAUCUGUCAAAUACCCAGUUCUAAAUAACCAUAGUUGUUGAUCUUUCACUAAAGGUGAUCUUCCUUGAGAAAAAAAAGCAGCCAGUUCAGUUUGCAACUCAAAUAAUAGCAAGUGCUUUUUCUUGAGAAAACCAUUGUGUUUUGAUAACAGAAAUGCUUUAUGCAUACUACCAAUUUUGCCACAUGAAGAAUGUGUUUUAAAAGAUGUAUCCUCAUAGGCUAAGAUUUCAUAAAAUCAGUACUUUAUAUUGUUUUGUCAAGGACAUUCUUAGGUGAAACUGAGUUGAUAUUUUUGGUUUUGUUUUGGUUUCAUUGAGAAUACAUGGCAGUGGAGAAUCCAAUGACUAUUGUUAGUUUGGUGCCUGUGUGUGUGUGUGUGUGUGUGUGUGUGUGUAUUUUUUUUUUUCUCCUCUUUUCUGGUUGCCCUGAGGUAUAUGGAGUUCCCAGGCUAGGGAUCAGAUCCGAGCUGGAGUCAUGACUUAAGCUGGAUCCUUAACCAACUGUGCAGGGCCAGGGAUCAAACCUUCGUCCCAGUGCUUCCAAGACGCUGCCAAUCCUGUUGUACCACAGUGGGAACUCCCGGUGCCAUUAUCUUGACUGAUGCUAAGUGCUAGUGCUUUUACUCACUAUUGCUUUUGUACCAUCUAGACAAAUAUUAACAGUGCAAAUGGCAAAUAAAAUCUUAGUAUUAUUAGGAAAAUAGUAUUGACUUCACAGAUGUUCUGAAAUUCCUUUCCCACCAUUUUCACUUGAAAAAAAAAACUGAUAUAUUAAACUGUGAUUAUUUAGACU